GUUGUGGAACUUUGCAGUGUUUCUGUGGGUUGGCUGUAUGAAUUUGCAACAGACAUGUUAUCAAUUCAAAUCGUUACAUGUCCUGUAGGUUAUGUUUGUAUUCUCUGUCUGAAAGUGUUUUAAAUGU
Molecule: long non-coding RNA, 127 nt
Organism: Thalassophryne amazonica
Lineage: Eukaryota; Metazoa; Chordata; Actinopteri; Batrachoidiformes; Batrachoididae
Exons: 3
Source: RefSeq, a predicted model, not a curated record